Molecule: long non-coding RNA, 930 nt
Filed under: Eucalyptus grandis
Lineage: Eukaryota; Viridiplantae; Streptophyta; Magnoliopsida; Myrtales; Myrtaceae
Description: long non-coding RNA (EGRA_LNC002720)
Source: RNAcentral
CCAAGUUCAUGAAACAUGACAAACUGAGCUUCAAAAGACGUAAAAUUUAUAAAUAGUAUACUAUGUUCAAUAUAGACCAUGUAUAUGAUAACAUUCUCUCUUCCCUAAAUAAGAAGAAUUUAUAAAACAAAUGACACGCAACAAAAUUGGUACACAAACACAAUAUGAUUACACGAACUUCAAAAUCAAACUAAACCUCGGAAACCGGCACGUCGUUGAAUAGUUGAACAAUCUCUUGAAGCCAGUCGGGAACUUGUGUAAGCAAAUUAGAUGAUGCCAAAGCAAACACUAGCAAGCAAAUAUUGACAAUAAGCCACAUAGCUAGAGACAUGCUCAUUUAGAGAAGCAACUCAACUCUGAACAUCCCAAAAAUCAUGUACAAGUAUUUGUAUAUCAUGUUCGGGCUUGUGGGCCCGAUCGCUUGGAUCAGUGUUAUGAGAUGGAUAAUUUCGCAGAUGAUGUACAACUAUAGAAUCGCAUGGUUCAACGCCUGAGUAGGCUGCGAAUUGAAAUGCACAAUGACGAGUAGUUUAAACAAGGUAAAGAUACUAUGAAACCUCUUGGUGGAGCCACUUUCUUGUUGUUGCUGACGUGGUGGUUUCUCGUUGUCCCUAUAGCGAAUCAAGAAAGAAAAUGAUGGAAAGAGAAAUGGAUUCCAAAAAUGGAAAGAAAUAAAAAUCGGCUAUUCAAUUAGAGCCUUAAGUAGAGUUUUUAAGAGCAUAUUCACACAUAUAAGUCACGCACCUUUGGGCUAUCUCUGUUUUAUCGGCCGUGUUAUGGAGCAGGAUUCGAAGACUUCUUCUCUGGCAGGAGCUCGUCGACCUCGCUUGAAAGAAUUCUGGUCCGGAGCUUUUGUUUUGUGAAUGGGAGUUUCUGAAGCGAAGUGAAAGGCCUUUGCUUCGUGCAUUGCAUUUUAUAGAGAGAGGUGAC